This 839-nucleotide unclassified non-coding RNA is filed under the name Bradyrhizobium yuanmingense. Its description in RNAcentral is "partial contains 16S-23S ribosomal RNA intergenic spacer and 23S ribosomal RNA". The stretch from base 191 to 264 matches the Rfam family "tRNA". The record is from RNAcentral. Lineage: Bacteria; Pseudomonadati; Pseudomonadota; Alphaproteobacteria; Hyphomicrobiales; Nitrobacteraceae.
AAGGAUGAUCCUUCAGCGAGCUCACGCUCACUAUCGGAUCGUUUUAGAAACAUCAGUGGCCAACAGAUCGCCAGAUCGUUGAGCUGCAUUGGCGGGAUUUCGCCGUCUUCGUUUCUCUUUCUUCGCGGACGAACACGCGCUGGGCCUGCAUCAAGCAGGAUCCCACGGUCCCUGACGGGAUAUGCGUUAGGGGCUUGUAGCUCAGUUGGUUAGAGCGCGCGCUUGAUAAGCGUGAGGUCGGAAGUUCAAGUCUUCCCAGGCCCACCACUUUCAUCGAGUGAGCAUUCGUCUUCUGGUUACGGGGCCAUAGCUCAGCUGGGAGAGCGCGUGCUUUGCAAGCAUGAGGUCGUCGGUUCGAUCCCGUCUGGCUCCACCAGAUGGUUUGAUCAUCGAGAUCUUGCACCGUCGUCCGCGAAACAUCACUUCGCAUCCUGCUAGUCUGGAUAGACAGCAAGAUGCGUGUUUUCUGACAUCGUAAAGAGGAGAUCGAUCCGAGUUGGGUCGUGCAGCAGAUCGUUGCGCGAAUCCUUCAUUAUCUCCGGAUCAUUUUCGGCGCUCGCUUUCAGCCGUGAGGUUGAAUGCGAGUUGUAAAAUGAUCCUUUUAGCGAAGCUUGACCGCCUCGCUAUCGGAACGAUCUUACGAAGCAAGCUGGUCUUUCUAGUCAAUGUCCGGCUGCACGUAGCAUUCAUCGAGGGUGCGCGCCGUAAGGCAAUCGUGCAGACAACAUUCUGCCGAGUGUGUGGACAUUGAUAAUGAGAGCAAUCAAGUGCCUUAAGGGUGUUCGGUGGAUGCCUUGGCGCUGAGAGGCGAUGAAGGACGUGCUACGCUGCGAUAAGCC